AGAGUUUGAUCAUGCCUUUGAUUGAACGCUGGCGGCAGGCCUAACACAUGCAAGUCCAGCGGUAGAGAGGUGCUUGCACCUCUUGAGAGCGGCGGACGGGUGAGUAAAGCCUAGGAAUCUGCCUGGUAGUGGGGGAUAACGCUCGGAAACGGACGCUAAUACCGCAUACGUCCUACGGGAGAAAGCAGGGGACCUUCGGGCCUUGCGCUAUCAGAUGAGCCUAGGUCGGAUUAGCUAGUUGGUGAGGUAAUGGCUCACCAAGGCGACGAUCCGUAACUGGUCUGAGAGGAUGAUCAGUCACACUGGAACUGAGACACGGUCCAGACUCCUACGGGAGGCAGCAGUGGGGAAUAUUGGACAAUGGGCGAAAGCCUGAUCCAGCCAUGCCGCGUGUGUGAAGAAGGUCUUCGGAUUGUAAAGCACUUUAAGUUGGGAGGAAGGGCAUUAACCUAAUACGUUAGUGUUUUGACGUUACCGACAGAAUAAGCACCGGCUAACUCUGUGCCAGCAGCCGCGGUAAUACAGAGGGUGCAAGCGUUAAUCGGAAUUACUGGGCGUAAAGCGCGCGUAGGUGGUUCGUUAAGUUGGAUGUGAAAUCCCCGGGCUCAACCUGGGAACUGCAUUCAAAACUGUCGAGCUAGAGUAU
Molecule: ribosomal RNA, 646 nt
Filed under: uncultured bacterium
Lineage: Bacteria
Description: bacterial SSU rRNA
Rfam family: Bacterial small subunit ribosomal RNA
Source: RNAcentral